RNAcentral lists this ribosomal RNA (467 nucleotides) under uncultured bacterium. RNAcentral's name for it is "partial 16S ribosomal RNA". It matches the Rfam family "Bacterial small subunit ribosomal RNA", at positions 28 to 507 of the family's 1533-position model. The record is from RNAcentral.
GACGAACGCUGGCGGCGUGCUUAACACAUGCAAGUCGAACGGAAAGGCCCUGCUUUUGUGGGGUGCUCGAGUGGCGAACGGGUGAGUAACACGUGAGUAACCUGCCCUUGACUUUGGGAUAACUUCGGGAAACUGGGGCUAAUACCGGAUAGGAGCUCCUGCUGCAUGGUGGGGGUUGGAAAGUUUCGGCGGUUGGGGAUGGACUCGCGGCUUAUCAGCUUGUUGGUGGGGUAGUGGCUUACCAAGGCUUUGACGGGUAGCCGGCCUGAGAGGGUGACCGGCCACAUUGGGACUGAGAUACGGCCCAGACUCCUACGGGAGGCAGCAGUGGGGAAUAUUGCACAAUGGGCGGAAGCCUGAUGCAGCAACGCCGCGUGCGGGAUGACGGCCUUCGGGUUGUAAACCGCUUUCGCCUGUGACGAAGCGUGAGUGACGGUAAUGGGUAAAGAAGCACCGGCUACUACGUG